GCACAAGCGGUGGAGCAUGUGGUUAAUCGAUGCAACGCGAAGAACUUACCUGGGCUUGACAUCCCGGGAAUCCCUUGGAAACAAGGGAGUGCCCUUCGGGGAACCUGGAGACAGGUGCUGCAUGGCUGUCGUCAGCUCGUGUCGUGAGAUGUAGGGUUAAGUCCCGCAACGAGCGCAACCCCUACUGCCAGUUACUAACAGGUAAUGCUGAGGACUCUGGCGGAACUGCCGGUGACAAACCGGAGGAAGGUGGGAUGACGUCAAGUCCUCAUGGCCCUUAUGUCCAGGGCUACACACGUGCUACAAUGGCCGGUACAGAGUGACGCGAAGCCGCGAGGUGGAGCCAAUCUCAGAAAGCCGGUCUCAGUUCGGAUUAGAGUCUGCAACUCGACUCUAUGAAGUUGGAAUCGCUAGUAAUCGCGGAUCAGCACGCCGCGGUGAGUACGUUCCCGGGCCUU
Molecule: ribosomal RNA, 458 nt
Filed under: uncultured Spirochaetaceae bacterium
Lineage: Bacteria; Pseudomonadati; Spirochaetota; Spirochaetia; Spirochaetales; Spirochaetaceae
Description: bacterial SSU rRNA
Rfam family: Bacterial small subunit ribosomal RNA
Source: RNAcentral